CAAUGCAUGAAUGCAACUAUGUGAUGAAUGAGUGAACUAUGAAGUAAUUGCCUUGUCAAUUAUAAUACCUCAGAUUGUGCUAAUGUUCUCGAAUUUCAUCUCUCUCGCUACCAAGUCAACUACUCUUCUAUUUACAAGUGUGGAGUGCCAAUGUGUGCAAGCAUGCUCUUUUAUUGAGACAAGACAAAACUACUACUCCCACAGAAUCCCCAUCAAGAAUCGUAAAAGUUUAAAACUAACACCCCGUCACUCAAGUCCAACUAAAGCCAAGGUCCCAAAGAAUGUCCACACCCUUCUAUUUUAUUCACUAUAUAUUUUUUUUUUCUUUUUAUUUUUGUUGGUGAUUAAUUGCUCGGUCUAGGGUCAGAGCGCUUCGCAGUGUAAAUGCGUUACGAACACCACAAGACUUCACACACCAAUUAUUCACU
This 428-nucleotide long non-coding RNA is filed under the name Daucus carota (carrot). Its description in RNAcentral is "long non-coding RNA (DCAR_LNC002672)". The record is from RNAcentral. Lineage: Eukaryota; Viridiplantae; Streptophyta; Magnoliopsida; Apiales; Apiaceae.